ACGUACGCUGGCGGCACGCCUAACACAUGCAAGUCGAGCGCUACCUUCGGGUGGAGCGGCGGACGGGUUAGUAACGCGUGGGAAUAUACCCAGUUCUAAGGAAUAGCCACUGGAAACGGUGAGUAAUACCUUAUACGCCCUUCGGGGGAAAGAUUUAUCGCUGAUGGAUGAGCCCGCGUAAGAUUAGGUAGUUGGUAGGGUAAUGGCCUACCAAGCCGACGAUCUUUAGCUGGUCUGAGAGGAUGAUCAGCAACACUGGAACUGAGACACGGUCCAGACUCCUACGGGAGGCAGCAGUGGGGAAUAUUGC
This 310-nucleotide ribosomal RNA is filed under the name uncultured Rhodobacterales bacterium. RNAcentral's name for it is "SSU rRNA". It matches the Rfam family "Bacterial small subunit ribosomal RNA", at positions 29 to 367 of the family's 1533-position model. The record is from RNAcentral. Lineage: Bacteria; Pseudomonadati; Pseudomonadota; Alphaproteobacteria; Rhodobacterales.